Molecule: ribosomal RNA, 253 nt
Filed under: uncultured bacterium
Lineage: Bacteria
Description: partial 16S ribosomal RNA
Rfam family: Bacterial small subunit ribosomal RNA
Source: RNAcentral
UACGUAGGGGGCAAGCGUUGUCCGGAAUUAUUGGGCGUAAAGCGCGUGUAGGCGGCUCGGUAAGUCUGCCGUGAAAACCCAGGGCUCAACCCUGGAAAGCGGGUGGAUACUGCCGGGCUAGAGUCCGGAAGAGGCGAGUGGAAUUCCCGGUGUAGCGGUGAAAUGCGCAGAUAUCGGGAGGAACACCCGUGGCGAAGGCGGCUCUCUGGGACGGUACUGACGCUGAGACGCGAAAGCGUGGGGAGCGAACAGG